Molecule: non-coding RNA, 84 nt
Organism: Stylosanthes scabra
Lineage: Eukaryota; Viridiplantae; Streptophyta; Magnoliopsida; Fabales; Fabaceae
Source: the annotation of a GenBank genome assembly
GUUUGGUGUUUUCACACUAAGUAGUGGUGAGUAUUCCCGCCUGUCACGCGGGUGACCCGGGUUCGAUCCCCGGCAACGGCGCCA